Molecule: ribosomal RNA, 464 nt
Filed under: Vreelandella stevensii
Lineage: Bacteria; Pseudomonadati; Pseudomonadota; Gammaproteobacteria; Oceanospirillales; Halomonadaceae
Description: partial 16S ribosomal RNA
Rfam family: Bacterial small subunit ribosomal RNA
Source: RNAcentral
CCUACGGGUGGCUGCAGUGGGGAAUAUUGGACAAUGGGGGGAACCCUGAUCCAGCCAUGCCGCGUGUGUGAAGAAGGCCCUCGGGUUGUAAAGCACUUUCAGUGAGGAAGAACGCCUGGUGGUUAAUACCCAUCAGGAAAGACAUCACUCACAGAAGAAGCACCGGCUAACUCCGUGCCAGCAGCCGCGGUAAUACGGAGGGUGCGAGCGUUAAUCGGAAUUACUGGGCGUAAAGCGCGCGAGGUGGCUUGAUAAGCCGGUUGUGCAAGCCCAGGGCUCAACCUGGGAACGGCAUCCGGAACUGUCAAGCUAGAGUGCAGGAGAGGAAGGUAGAAUUCCCGGUGUAGCGGUGAAAUGCGUAGAGAUCGGGAGGAAUACCAGUGGCGAAGGCGGCCUUCUGGACUGACACUGACACUGAGGUGCGAAAGCGUGGGUAGCAAACAGGAUUAGAUACCCCAGUAGUC